Pteronotus mesoamericanus is the source of this 404-nucleotide long non-coding RNA. RefSeq lists it as uncharacterized. The transcript has 4 exons. NCBI's taxonomy places the organism in Eukaryota, Metazoa, Chordata, Mammalia, Chiroptera, Mormoopidae. The record is from RefSeq and is a predicted model, not a curated record.
CCAAGAUGUUUCUGCUCUUGCUCUCGGCGGCCUUGCUGGCUCUGAGCUCAGCUCAGGAUAUUGGCAAUGGUACUGAUCAUGAAAACUUUCCAGAACACCCUCAAAAUGAAGAGGAAGAACCCCAAAUAAUAGAAGAUCAUAAACCAGUUGAAGAAUCCUCAGAGGACUCACAAGUCAAUUCUCAGGAAGAAGACAGAGAUCAGCAUGGCAAAACGGGCAAACAUGAAAAAAAUGGCCAAAAAGGCCAUGGUCGGCAGGGUGAACCUCACAGCCAAAAUGUCCAGGAAAGCCAGGAAAACUCACACAGCAGAGGUGGGGAAGGUGGCCAGAGUGGCCCUGGUAGCCAGAGAAGACAGCGUGAAAGAGGCGGCCAGCGUGGUCAGCGUGGUGGCCAAUGACCAGGA